This 249-nucleotide unclassified non-coding RNA is filed under the name uncultured fungus. RNAcentral's name for it is "partial contains 5.8S ribosomal RNA, internal transcribed spacer 2, and large subunit ribosomal RNA". Lineage: Eukaryota; Fungi. The record is from RNAcentral.
AACGCACAUUGCGCCCGCCAGCACUCUGGCGGGCAUGCCUGUUCGAGCGUCAUUUCAACCACCAAGCCCUGCUUGUGUUGGGGCCCUGCGGCUGCCCGCAGGCCCUGAAAACCAGUGGCGGGCUCGCUAGUCACACCGAGCGCAGUAAGCACAUUCUCGCUCAGGGCGUGCGGCGGGUUCUUGCCGUGAAACCCCCCCCUUAACUCAAAGGUUGACCUCGGAUCAGGUAGGAAUACCCGCUGAACUUAA